ACUGAGGAUUGACAGACAUACCUUUGCCACUACAAUAAAAAGCAACCUCUAAGCCAUAUGCGCAAGCGGUCACUUCAAAAAGCAGCAGCACUUAAGGAAAGACGCUAGAUCUUUCAUGAUUAUGUGAUAAGUGGUGCAUGGCCGUUCUUAGUUCGUGGAGUGAUCUGUCUGCUUAAUUGCGUUUCGCAAUAUAUAAAUCUGCGCAGUGCCCUUUUUCGCUGGGUGCGGCGUAAGAUCUCGAAAGCAACGAACGAGAUCGCAACCUUUAGUUGACCUAUGUAGCGGGUCAUAAGAAACUAAACUAAAGGGACUGCUGCCAUAUGUGCUUAAACCAGAGGAAGGUUGCGGCAAUAACAGGUCUGUGAUGCCCUUAGAUGUUCCGGGCUGCACACGUGCUACAAUGAUCAUUUCAUUAAGCAUAAAGCGUAGGCAACGGUAACUUCUAUUACCCCAGCUAUACACA
This 463-nucleotide ribosomal RNA is filed under the name Globigerinita minuta. RNAcentral describes it as "SSU rRNA". It matches the Rfam family "Eukaryotic small subunit ribosomal RNA", at positions 1232 to 1540 of the family's 1831-position model. The record is from RNAcentral. Lineage: Eukaryota; Foraminifera; Rotaliida; Globigerinitidae.